Molecule: long non-coding RNA, 476 nt
Organism: Coregonus clupeaformis (lake whitefish)
Lineage: Eukaryota; Metazoa; Chordata; Actinopteri; Salmoniformes; Salmonidae
Exons: 3
Source: RefSeq, a predicted model, not a curated record
GGGGGUCCUCAAGGUAAAGCGUUAGCAUCAAGGGAGUCCUCAAGGUAAAGCAUCAAGGGGGUCCUCAAGGUAAAGCAUCAAGGGAGUCCUCAAGGUAAAGCAUCAAGGGAGUCCUCAAGGUAAAGCAUCAAGGGGGUCCUCAAGGUAAAGCAUCAAGGGGGUCCUCAAGGUAAAGCAUCAAGGGGGUCCUCAAGGUAAAGCGUUAGCAUCAAGGGAGUCCUCAAGGUAAAGCGUUAGCAUCAAGGGAGUCCUCAAGGUAAAGCGUUAGCAUCAAGGGAGUCCUCAAGGUAAAGCGUUGCCUUGUUUUAGUAUACUGUAGGUCUCUCUGUCCUUUAUCAGUUUGUAGAUUUGUAUUUUGAUAGGCCUAUGCUAUUGUAUGCUAAUGUUUUCAGUUUGUGUUGACUGCUAAUGAGGGCGGCAGGUAGCCUAGCGGUUAGAGGGUUGGGCAAGUAACCAAAAGGUCGCUGGUUCGAAUA